AUGGCUUCAUCCGGUUCCAUGACGAGGCCACCGUGUGCUCACCAAGAAGACAUGCCACACAAGUGGAAGGACGCAUCUUUGGACAAGGUGAAGGAGAAAGAUGUGAAGAUUCCGCCAUGUUGGUGUGGAGAUGUUUGCAAGGUGAAGGAGUCCACCGACCGAAAGAAGUCAUGGACCGAAGGAAGGAGAUAUUUUGUUUGCCCCAAUUAUGCUUAAGAUCGUGCGCUUCCAACUAACGCCUAUGACCUUCCACAGGUAUGCUAG
RNAcentral lists this ribosomal RNA (264 nucleotides) under Triticum aestivum (bread wheat). RNAcentral's name for it is "partial small subunit ribosomal RNA". Lineage: Eukaryota; Viridiplantae; Streptophyta; Magnoliopsida; Poales; Poaceae. The record is from RNAcentral.